GCAGUCGCCGCGGUAAUACAGAGGGUGCGAGCGUUAAUCGGAUUUACUGGGCGUAAAGCGUGCGUAGGCGGCUUCUUAAGUCGGAUGUGAAAUCCCUGAGCUUAACUUAGGAAUUGCAUUCGAUACUGGGAAGCUAGAGUAUGGGAGAGGAUGUAGAAUUCCAGGUGUAGCGGUGAAAUGCGUAGAGAUCUGGAGGAAUACCGAUGGCGAAGGCAGCCAUCUGGCCUAAUACUGACGCUGAGGUACGAAAGCAUGGGGAGCAAACAGGAUUAGAUACCCCAGUAGUCCCUGUCUCUUAUACA
Molecule: ribosomal RNA, 302 nt
Filed under: uncultured bacterium
Lineage: Bacteria
Description: partial 16S ribosomal RNA
Rfam family: Bacterial small subunit ribosomal RNA
Source: RNAcentral